RNAcentral lists this ribosomal RNA (421 nucleotides) under uncultured bacterium. RNAcentral's name for it is "partial 16S ribosomal RNA". It matches the Rfam family "Bacterial small subunit ribosomal RNA", at positions 360 to 773 of the family's 1533-position model. The record is from RNAcentral.
AAUUUUGGACAAUGGGGGCAACCCUGAUCCAGCCAUGCCGCGUGUGUGAAGAAGGUCUUCGGAUUGUAAAGCACUUUAAGUUGGGAGAAAGGGAAGUAAGUUAAUACCUUGCUGUUUUGACGUUACCGACAGAAUAAGCACCGGCUAACUCUGUGCCCGCAGCCGAGGUAAUACAGAGGGUCCAAGGGUUAAACGGAAUUACUGGGCGUAAAGCGCGCGUAGGUGGUUCAGUAAGAUGGGUGUGAAAUCCCCGGGCUUAACCUGGGAACUGCUUUCAUAACUGCUGAGCUAGAGUACGGUAGAGGGUAGUGGAAUUUCCUGUGUAGCGGUGAAAUGCGUAGAUAUAGGAAGGAACAUCAGUGGCGAAGGCGACCACCUGGGCUAAUACUGACACUGAGGUGCGAAAGCGUGGGGAGCAAAC